RNAcentral lists this ribosomal RNA (467 nucleotides) under uncultured bacterium. RNAcentral's name for it is "bacterial SSU rRNA". It matches the Rfam family "Bacterial small subunit ribosomal RNA", at positions 30 to 523 of the family's 1533-position model. The record is from RNAcentral.
AUUGAACGCUGGCGGUAUGCUUAAGACAUGCAAGUCGAACGGUAACAGGCAGAGCUUGCUCUGUGCUGACGAGUGGCGGACGGGUGAGUAACACGUGGAAAUCUACCCAGUAGCGGGGGAUAAGUCAGAGAAAUUUGAUCUAAUACCGCAUACGUCCUACGGGAGAAAGGCUUCGGCCACUAUUGGAUGAGUCCGCGUUAGAUUAGCUUGAUGGUGAGGUAAAGGCUCACCAUGGCGACGAUCUAUAGCUGGUCUGAGAGGAUGAUCAGCCACAUUGGGACUGAGACACGGCCCAGACUCCUACGGGAGGCAGCAGUCGGGAAUAUUGGACAAUGGGCGAAAGCCUGAUCCAGCAAUACCGCGUGUGUGAAGAAGGCCUGCGGGUUGUAAAGCACUUUUCAGUAGGGAAGAUAAUGACGUUACUACAGAAGAAGCACCGGCUAACUCCGUGCCAGCCGCCGCGGUAA